GAUGAACGCUGGCGGCGUGCCUAAUACAUGCAAGUCGAGCGAACGGACGAGAGUGCUUGCACUCUCUGAUGUUAGCGGCGGACGGGUGAGUAACACGUGGGUAACCUACCUAUAAGACUGGGAUAACUUCGGGAAACCGGAGCUAAUACCGGAUAAUAUUUAGCUUCGCAUGAAGCAAUAGUGAAAGACGGUUCUGCUGUCACUUAUAGAUGGACCCGCGGUGUAUUAGCUAGUUGGUGAGGUAACGGCUCACAAAGGCAACGAUACAUAGCCGACCUGAGAGGGUGAUCGGCCACACUGGGACUGAGACACGGCCCAGACUCCUACGGGAGGCAGCAGUAGGGAAUCUUCCGCAAUGGACGAAAGUCUGACGGAGCAACGCCGCGUGAGUGAAGAAGGUUUUCGGAUCGUAAAACUCUGUUGUAAGGGAAGAACAAGUACGUUAGUAACUGAACGUACCUUGACGGUACCUUACCAGAAAGCCACGGCUAACUACGUGCCAGCCGCCGCCGUAA
RNAcentral lists this ribosomal RNA (515 nucleotides) under uncultured bacterium. RNAcentral's name for it is "partial 16S ribosomal RNA". It matches the Rfam family "Bacterial small subunit ribosomal RNA", at positions 28 to 523 of the family's 1533-position model. The record is from RNAcentral.